This 781-nucleotide small RNA is filed under the name Pongo abelii (Sumatran orangutan). RNAcentral describes it as "retained intron". The record is from RNAcentral. Lineage: Eukaryota; Metazoa; Chordata; Mammalia; Primates; Hominidae.
CUGGGCGAGCUGGCACUCAGCUUCUCGCGGGUGCCGCUCUUCCCCGUCUUCGACCUCAGUUACUUCAUCGUCUCCAUCCUCUACCUCAAGUAUGAGCCAGGAGCAGUCGAGCUGUCCCGGCGCCACCCCAUCGCGUCCUGGCUGUGCGCCAUGCUGCAUUGCUUUGGGAGCUACAUCCUGGCUGAUCUGCUCCUUGGGGAGCCACUGAUUGAUUACUUCAGCAACAACUCCAGCAUCCUGCUGGCCUCAGCUGUCUGGUACUUGAUUUUCUUCUGCCCCCUGGACCUCUUCUAUAAGUGUGUCUGCUUCCUGCCUGUGAAACUCAUCUUCGUGGCCAUGAAGGAGGUGGUGCGAGUCCGCAAGAUCGCAGUGGGCAUCCAUCACGCCCAUCACCACUACCACCACGGGUGGUUCGUCAUGAUUGCAACUGGGUGGGUCAAAGGUAAAUAGGAUGAUGACAGUGAAAAAUCAUCCCAGUGGAGAACUUUUGGUCCAGUGGUACUACCAGGCACCCCAGCUGGGAAAGCCAUUGCUCCAGGCAAAGGGGCAUAAAGACUGCAGUAGGUGUUCAAACCUCCCUACAGGUAUCAGCCGAUACCUUUAGGGUAAGUGGGAAGAUUCUUCUAGAAAUGUUACUGUCAGGGGUACCUAAGACAGUGAUUAUGACAACAAAAGCCAGCAUUGCCAGAGCAGGGUUUCUCACUUGCAGCACUACUGACAUGUGGGGCUGGAUCAUUCUUUGUGCACUGUAGGAUGUUGAACAGCACCCCUGGCCUCCACC